RNAcentral lists this ribosomal RNA (301 nucleotides) under uncultured bacterium. RNAcentral's name for it is "partial 16S ribosomal RNA". It matches the Rfam family "Bacterial small subunit ribosomal RNA", at positions 509 to 807 of the family's 1533-position model. The record is from RNAcentral.
CAGUAGCCGCGGUAAUACGUAGGGUGCGAGCGUUAAUCGGAAUUACUGGGCGUAAAGCGUGCGCAGGCGGCUUUGCAAGACAGAUGUGAAAUCCCCGGGCUCAACCUGGGAACUGCAUUUGUGACUGCAAGGCUAGAGUGCGGCAGAGGGAGAUGGAAUUCCGCGUGUAGCAGUGAAAUGCGUAGAUAUGCGGAGGAACACCGAUGGCGAAGGCAAUCUCCUGGGCCUGCACUGACGCUCAUGCACGAAAGCGUGGGGAGCAAACAGGAUUAGAUACCCCAGUAGUCCCUGUCUCUUAUAC